Molecule: non-coding RNA, 120 nt
Filed under: Pelobacter sp.
Lineage: Bacteria; Pseudomonadati; Thermodesulfobacteriota; Desulfuromonadia; Desulfuromonadales; Desulfuromonadaceae
Also listed under: 1 other name
Description: MoCo sequence
Rfam family: Molybdenum/Tungsten riboswitch aptamer (Moco RNA motif)
Source: RNAcentral
AAUCUAAUCGAUCUCCGAGCCGACCGACCUAAAGAUAUCUACUCCAAGGUCAGAGGCCUACGGGUCUUGCUGGAAACGGUGCGACCUCCCGCUUUGGAAAGGAGAGUCCUUCUGCGCCGC